Molecule: long non-coding RNA, 2336 nt
Organism: Monodelphis domestica (gray short-tailed opossum)
Lineage: Eukaryota; Metazoa; Chordata; Mammalia; Didelphimorphia; Didelphidae
Source: Ensembl
AUGAGGUAUAAAAAUUUGUAUUUAUAUUACAAUGAAAGACAGAUACAACACAAUACCUUCAGUGGGAGCCGCAGGCAGCAGCAAGCACCAGGAACGUGUGUACAAAUGAAUUUUUACAAUAUAAUACAUCUUGCCACCUACAAAGCGUUCCUUUUCAGGUACAUAUUCAAAAUAUCUCUGGCACAGAACCUGCCCAGGCACCUGAAGAAAUCCCCAGUCAAGUGAUCACCUUCCCCUUCCUCCCACUCUACUCAGCCCUUCUGGUGUGGCUCCUUGACCAUGACCAUGACCCCUCUGUCCACAGAAGCCUCAAUGAUGACUUCUUGGGGCCUCCUUUAUAUCUAUUAGAUGGUACAGCUUUAGAGGAUGAAGGAAUACAGAUCCAGAACCCUUCAAAUAGGUGGGGGGUGGGGGUGGGGUGAACAAGGGUGUCUUUUAGAGAAAGCUAAAUCACUCACCAAACUAGUUAAAUGGGGUUCUCUUGAGUUUCUGUUCCCAGACCUCUUGUCUCCAUUGGCAUUUUUUUAGGCACCUGACUGGGUGAUUUUCUUUAUCUCUCACAUAGAAACUCAAGAUUUUGGAGUUAGAAGAGCCCUCAGAGUUCAUCUAAUCCACCCUGGAUAGGGCCACACCAGCCACCAACUUUCCUUGACCCUGGACGUGCUCCCUUCUUAUGAAGGGUGGCAAGAAUCCCAGAGAGGAGAAUAAUGUAACUAACUAGAAUCUUUACUGGCCAUGAACUUCCUUCCAAAAGGGACCACUUUUAAACCACAAAUGUGAGACAUUGUUCUAUGUGAAACUCACUUUCUUCUUUCCCAUACUGCUCUGACAAGAUGGAAACGGGUAAGUCCUACAUUAUCACACUUAACAGACACCAAAAUCCACCUUGGCAAAAGGUUCCCUAAAGAUGACUGUCUCUGAGGCCCUUCCUUCAUUGAUGUUUGAAAUCUAGAUGGCUGUGCAGUAGCAAUUGCUCUCUGGAUUGCAGCUUGGGUGACUGGAGGAAUUUCUGUUUUAUUCAGAGAAAAUAUUUUGGAAGAUGAUAGUAGGUGGUGAUUAAGGAAACCAGAAAAUGGGGCACUCUGAGUAAGCACAGACCAUGCUGAGGGCAGUGAGACUUGCCCUAGGGCCCUGUCUGCUCAGUCUCCUUGUUCACUGUGAGCCCAGGCCUCCCCUUUCAAGGUGGGUAAGUGAGGUGAGCAUGGGAGAGUCUUUAUCCCUCUGAGUCGUUACACAUACACAUGGCUUUGUAUUUUGGUUCAUUGUUUAAGAUAAAUGGGUUUGGUGAAAACUGAUCAGAAAGAAAAAAAAAUUUAAUGCAGUCAUGAUUCAUGAUCAAAUCUGAAAAUUCUGUAUCCUGAGCACCUGUAUAUUUCACUGAAGUAAGCUUAUAGCCAUGCCACAUAAAAUUGUUCAGAGAAGUUGGGGCUAUACUGACAUUCUCCUGUCCACCAUGUGUAUUCCUAGUAUAUGUGCAAAUGGCAACUUUAAAAGUCCACUCGUUUCCAGAGUGUUAAGUGAUGGUUUGGACUGUGUAACCCCAAGGCCUUAUAGCCAAGAGGGUGUCCUCUCCUGGACUGGUUAACCCAGCUAGUGAUAGACCCUAUGGUAUGAAAGUGUCCUGGUGGAAUUAAACUGCUUUAUUGGAAGCCAAGCUACCCUUCCCACAGGCAACACCUGCUUCUUAGUAUCAGUUGGCAGAAAAAGCCAAAGGGUCAUAGGGUUUUCAAACUGGGAGGGACUCUGAAGGUCAUGAAGUCCUCAGUCUUACAGAUGAGACAGUUAAAUCCUAGAAGCAGAAUGAGUUUCCUAAAGUCACACAAAUAAUAUGUGGUGGGAAACACUUGUAAAUAUGGAGAAGGGAAAAAGGAGAGGAUGUGUGACCAGUUUACAUUCAAUUUCCAAAUGCCAGGCUGAUGUAUUCCUUUACAAUUCAAAUUAUUCCUAGAAAGUCCCAAGCCCAACAAGACAAGGAAAAGUUAGUCCUGAAUUGUUUGUCUACUGGAUCCACCCCCCCCCCAAUACUACUCCUAAGCAAAGAUGUUAGAAUUUCAAAAAGCAAAGAAAAUGGUGGAGUCCCAGUUGCCAAACUAUUGGGUGGGGUUGCCUAAAUUAAUAAGCAACUUCCAAAGAGAGAAUGCCACACAUUGCUGUGCCCUGCUGGCUCCAGGUUGGGUUGUGGGUUGAGUAGCUUUGCAAUUCUCUCUCUUUGGGAACCAGCUGGGCGUUAAGAAAGCAAUGAGUAGCAGUAGGAGGAGAGACACCCACACACCUGUCUUCUGGGCUUGGCAGUAUUUGUGAAAGUACUAAUAAAACUGAGACAAUUAGAUUUGCCA